GACGAACGCUGGCGGCGUGCCUAAUACAUACAAGUAGAACGCACAGUUUAUACCGUAGCUUGCUACACCAUAGACUGUGAGUUGCGAACGGGUGAGUAACGCGUAGGUAACCUGCCUGGUAGCGGGGGAUAACUAUUGGAAACGAUAGCUAAUACCGCAUAAUAUUAAUUAUUGCAUGAUAAUUAAUUGAAAGGUGCAAUGGCACCACUACCAGAUGGACCUGCGUUGUAUUAGCUAGUAGGUGAGGUAACGGCUCACCUAGGCGACGAUACAUAGCCGACCUGAGAGGGUGAUCGGCCACACUGGGACUGAGACACGGCCCAGACUCCUACGGGAGGCAGCAGUAGGGAAUCUUCGGCAAUGGACGAAAGUCUGACCGAGCAACGCCGCGUGAGUGAAGAAGGGUUUCGGAUCGUAAAGCUCUGUUGUAAGAGAAGAACGGGUGUGAGAGUGGAAAGUUCACACUGUGACGGUAGCUUACCAGAAAGGGACGGCUAACUACGUG
Molecule: ribosomal RNA, 505 nt
Filed under: uncultured bacterium
Lineage: Bacteria
Description: partial 16S ribosomal RNA
Rfam family: Bacterial small subunit ribosomal RNA
Source: RNAcentral